Molecule: ribosomal RNA, 232 nt
Filed under: uncultured bacterium
Lineage: Bacteria
Description: partial 16S ribosomal RNA
Rfam family: Bacterial small subunit ribosomal RNA
Source: RNAcentral
UGAGUAACCUGCCCUUAACUCUGGGAUAAGCCUGGGAAACUGGGUCUAAUACCGGAUAUGACUCCUCAUCGCAUGGUGGGUGUUGGAAAGUUUUUUCGGUGGGGGAUGGGCUCGCGGCCUAUCAGCUUGUUGGUGGGGUAAUGGCCUACCAAGGCGUCGACGGGUAGCCGGCCUGAGAGGGCGACCGGCCACACUGGGACUGAGACACGGCCCAGACUCCGUACGGGAGCAG